This 497-nucleotide ribosomal RNA is filed under the name uncultured bacterium. RNAcentral's name for it is "partial 16S ribosomal RNA". It matches the Rfam family "Bacterial small subunit ribosomal RNA", at positions 28 to 507 of the family's 1533-position model. The record is from RNAcentral.
GAUGAACGCUGGCGGCGUGCCUAAUACAUGCAAGUCGAGCGAACGGACGAGAAGCUUGCUUCUCUGAUGUUAGCGGCGGGCGGGUGAGUAACACGUGGAUAACCUACCUAUAAGACUGGGAUAACUUCGGGAAACCGGAGCCAAUACCGGAUAAUAUUUUGAACCGCAUGGUUCAAAAGUGAAAGACAGUCUUGCUGUCACUUAUAGAUGGAUCCGCGCUGCAUUAGCUAGUUGGUAAGGUAACGGCUUACCAAGGCAACGAUGCAUAGCCGACCUGAGAGGGUGAUCGGCCACACUGGAACUGAGACACGGUCCAGACUCCUACGGGAGGCAGCAGUAGGGAAUCUUCCGCAAUGGGCGAAAGCCUGACGGAGCAACGCCGCGUGAGUGAUGAAGGUCUUCGGAUCGUAAAACUCUGUUAUUAGGGAAGAACAUAUGUGUAAGUAACUGUGCACAUCUUGACGGUACCUAAUCAGAAAGCCACGGCUAACUACGUG